Molecule: non-coding RNA, 147 nt
Organism: Morus notabilis
Lineage: Eukaryota; Viridiplantae; Streptophyta; Magnoliopsida; Rosales; Moraceae
Source: Rfam
UUGGCUUCUUGUUUUAUUCUAGUCGACAUACACCGAUUUAAGUUUAGAUUUCGUGUUUGUUGUUAAUUGAAGCCAAAUAUAAAAUGUUCCCCUCGCUAUCCAGUGCCUGCUUUUUAUGUUGCAUUUGGACGUUGGGGAACUACAUUG